CGGCCCCCUCAGUGACAAGUCAGCGUUCAUGCAGACUGCGAGUGCAGACAUGAGUCAGGCGCUUCUAUGUGCGAUGAUGGCUGCUUGGAGUCUUGAUUUUUGCGGCCAGAUGGUGCACCAGCAGGAGCGGGAUGUCCACACCGUGGAGGGUGCAGCAGUGACGCUGGACUGCAGCUCUGACAGAGCAGGGAACAUUGACUACAUGGUGUGGUACAAACAAGAAGGCAACGCAUCGCCCGAGUUCAUCCUGAGCCCUUUUAAGAUUGGUCAUGGCAAGAAGGCGGAAAAGUACGUUGAAAGGUUUCGCUCCACCAUGGAUGCCAGCCCUCGGCACGCUCCUCUGUAUAUUGAACGCGUGAAGCCCAUUGACUCGGGAGUUUUCUACUGCGGCUUGCAGACCACACUGACACAUCCACUGGCGUGCCUGCACAAAAACAUCUGCACCCGCCUCAUCUCAUCAGUGACUUUGGGGGCAUGGCCUCACCGGAGUCCAGGAGUUACGGAGUUCGAUUCUGAGUUCGGCCUUUUUGUAAGUACCGGUAGCUAUUUUGUGAGUGUUGGGUAAAUUUGCUGAUUUGAAUUUGUCAAAUGAAUGCUUCACAUGUUUUGUCCUCAUAAAGUUAAUCGUGGAAAGUUCAUGUUUAUGCGGUACCAUCUUUCAAUCGCAAGAAUUCUCUCACGCAGAUGACACUCGUUCCCGUUUUUGCUGUCAACACACAGGGAACAAACUGCCGUCACCAUAACUUUGGUCAGCUCCUGUGAUUUUAUAUCUUUGAAGACAUCACUGAUGUCACACAUAUCGGCCCGUUGGAUUUUCAAAGCAAUGAUUACAUAUUGUGAGAAAAAAAAAACAACGAAAGUGUUGGGUUGUAUAUUUUGAUGGUUGAA
Molecule: non-coding RNA, 888 nt
Organism: Hippocampus zosterae (dwarf seahorse)
Lineage: Eukaryota; Metazoa; Chordata; Actinopteri; Syngnathiformes; Syngnathidae
Source: the annotation of a RefSeq genome assembly